This 490-nucleotide ribosomal RNA is filed under the name uncultured bacterium. Its description in RNAcentral is "partial 16S ribosomal RNA". It matches the Rfam family "Bacterial small subunit ribosomal RNA", at positions 30 to 507 of the family's 1533-position model. The record is from RNAcentral.
AUUGAACGCUGGCGGCAGGCCUAACACAUGCAAGUCGAACGGUAACAGGAAGCAGCUUGCUGCUUUGCUGACGAGUGGCGGACGGGUGAGUUAUGUCUGGGAAACUGCCCGAUGGAGGGGGAUAACUACUGGAAACGGUAGCUAAUACCGCAUAACGUCGCAAGACCAAAGAGGGGGACCUUAGGGCCUCUUGCCAUCGGAUGUGCCCAGAUGGGAUUAGCUAGUAGGUGGGGUAACGGCUGACCUAGGCGACGAUCCCUAGCUGGUCUGAGAGGAUGACCAGCCACACUGGAACUGAGACACGGUCCAGACUACUACGGGAGGCAGCAGUGGGGAAUAUUGCACAAUGGGCGCAAGCCUGAUGCAGCCAUGCCGCGUGUAUGAAGAAGGCCUUCGGGUUGUAAAGUACUUUCAGCGGGGAGGAAGGGAGUAAAGUUAAUACCUUGGCUCAUUGACGUUACCCGCAGAAGAAGCACCGGCUAACUCCGUG